Molecule: ribosomal RNA, 460 nt
Filed under: uncultured bacterium
Lineage: Bacteria
Description: partial 16S ribosomal RNA
Rfam family: Bacterial small subunit ribosomal RNA
Source: RNAcentral
CCUACGGGUGACAGCAGUGAGGAAUAUUGGUCAAUGGGCGGACGCCUGAACCAGCCAAGUCGCGUGAGGGAAUACGGCCCUACGGGUCGUAAACCUCUUUUGCCGGGGAGCAAGGGCGGGGACGUGUCCCGGCCCGGAGAGUACCCGGAGAAAAAGCAUCGGCUAACUCCGUGCCAGCCGCCGCGGUAAUACGGAGGAUGCGAGCGUUAUCCGGAUUUAUUGGGUUAAAAGGGUGCGUAGGCGGGCUUUUAAGUCAGCGGUAAAAAUUCGGGGUGCAACCCCGUCCGGCCAUUGACACUGGGGGCCUGGAGUAGGCGAGAAGAAGGCGGAAUGCGUGGUGUAGCGGUGAAAUGCAUAGAUAGCACGCAGAACUCCGAUUGCGAAGGCAGCCGUCCGACGCCCUACUGACGCUGAGGCACGAAAGUGCGGGGAUCGAACAGGAUUAGAUACCCUAGUAGUC